UGGCGGACGGGUGAGUAAUGUCUGGGAAACUGCCCGAUGGAGGGGGAUAACUACUGGAAACGGUAGCUAAUACCGCAUAACGUCGCAAGACCAAAGAGGGGGACCUUAGGGCCUCUUGCCAUCGGAUGUGCCCAGAUGGGAUUAGCUAGUAGGUGGGGUAACGGCCCACCUAGGCGACGAUCCCUAGCUGGUCUGAGAGGAUGACCAGCCACACUGGAACUGAGACACGGUCCAG
This 235-nucleotide ribosomal RNA is filed under the name uncultured bacterium. Its description in RNAcentral is "partial 16S ribosomal RNA". It matches the Rfam family "Bacterial small subunit ribosomal RNA", at positions 96 to 334 of the family's 1533-position model. The record is from RNAcentral.